RNAcentral lists this ribosomal RNA (280 nucleotides) under uncultured bacterium. RNAcentral describes it as "partial 16S ribosomal RNA". It matches the Rfam family "Bacterial small subunit ribosomal RNA", at positions 506 to 784 of the family's 1533-position model. The record is from RNAcentral.
UGCCAGCAGCCGCGGUAAUACGGAGGGGGCGAGCGUUAUUCGGAAUUACUGGGCGUAAAGGGUGCGUAGGCGGCCCAUCAAGUUAGACGUGAAAGCCCCGGGGCUCAACCCCGGAACUGCCUCUAAUACUGCUAGUCUUGAGUUCGAGAGAGGUGAGUGGAAUUCCGAGUGUAGAGGUGAAAUUCGUAGAUAUUCGGAGGAACACCAGUGGCGAAGGCGGCUCACUGGCUCGAUACUGACGCUGAGGUGCGAAAGCGUGGGGAGCAAACAGGAUUAGAUA